Molecule: small nuclear RNA, 332 nt
Filed under: Ailuropoda melanoleuca (giant panda)
Lineage: Eukaryota; Metazoa; Chordata; Mammalia; Carnivora; Ursidae
Description: 7SK RNA
Rfam family: 7SK RNA
About the family: 7SK was discovered as an abundant small nuclear RNA in the mid-70s but a possible function has only recently been suggested. Two independent studies have found that 7SK RNA binds the CDK9/cyclin T complex (known as elongation factor P-TEFb).
Source: Rfam by way of RNAcentral
GGAUGGGAGGGCGACCUGGCUGCGACAUGUGUCACCCCACUGAUCGCCAGUGUUGAUUCAGCUGAUCUGGCUGGCUAGGCAAGUGUCCCCUUUCACCCUCGCCACAGCUCCUUGUGCAUCCCUCCCGAAGCUGCACACUGGUCCUCCGGGAUGACCUUCCCCGAUAGAGGAGGACUGUUCUCAGUCAAGGGUAUACGACUAGCUGUGCUCCCCUGCUGGGACCUCCAGACAAGCUCUCAGGGUCCAUUUGUAGGAGAACGUAGGGUAGUCAAACUUCCAAGACUCCAGACACUUCCGAAUGAGGUGCUGCAUAUGCCAGUCUGCCUUUCUUU